RNAcentral lists this ribosomal RNA (521 nucleotides) under uncultured bacterium. RNAcentral describes it as "bacterial SSU rRNA". It matches the Rfam family "Bacterial small subunit ribosomal RNA", at positions 8 to 518 of the family's 1533-position model. The record is from RNAcentral.
AGAGUUUGAUUAUGGCUCAGGAUGAACGCUAGCUACAGGCUUACACAUGCAAGGUCGAGGGGCAGCGGGAGAGUAGCUUGCUACUCUUGCCGGCGACCGGCGCACGGGUGAGUAACGCGUAUCCAACUUCCCCCUAGUAGGGGAUAGCCCGGCGAAAGUCGGAUUAAUACCCUAUGUUCUCCUUUGAUGACAUCUGAUAUGGAGCAAAGAUUUAUCGCUAUGGGAUGGGGAUGCGUCUGAUUAGGUAGUAGGCGGGGCAACGGCCCACCUAGCCAUCGAUCAGUAGGGGUUCUGAGAGGAAGGUCCCCCACAUUGGAACUGAGACACGGUCCAAACUCCUACGGGAGGCAGCAGUGAGGAAUAUUGGUCAAUGGGCGUGAGCCUGAACCAAGCCAAGUAGCGUGCGGGAUGACUGCCCUAUGGGUUGUAAACCGCUUUUGUACGGGAAUAAAGUCGGGGACGCGUCCCCGUUUGCAUGUACCGUAAGAAUAAGGACCGGCUAAUUCCGUGCCAGCCGCGGC